Molecule: RNA transcript, 1394 nt
Organism: Nematostella vectensis (starlet sea anemone)
Lineage: Eukaryota; Metazoa; Cnidaria; Anthozoa; Actiniaria; Edwardsiidae
Exons: 3
Source: RefSeq, a predicted model, not a curated record
AUGCAAUUGGCCCAUUUUCACUAUUAUCGCAAGCACAAUUUGUAUUUCCGAAAAUGGCUGUGACGUGUGGAAGUUACCUGUGUAUAAGAUUAAUCCUGGCUCUCGUGUUCGCGGCAAAGGUGCUGUCUGGUAUUCCAGCCUCCACCCGCCGUCGCUAUGGCACAACAGUACCUGUUGUACGCCCACACGUGUUAACCACUACUGCCACAACCCAAUACACCCACACUCUACUCUAACACCUCAACACCCAACACCCCUUAUCAUACAGACCCCUCCCACAUUGAAGAUGAUAUUUUACUCCAACAUGCCUCACCCCUUCACACAACAUCUCCUACCCAUAAUUUUCUUGACGACCUCUCCCCCAUGCAACUCAAUGUCCUACUAUCUAUCUCCCCCCACCCAGCCCUAGCCACCAACCUCAUAAUACACUACAGUCCCCCCCCCAGCUCCCCGAUCCCCUCCACCACACCGCCACACUUCCCACCUACUCCCACACCUAGCCACACUAACACACCUCACCCCCCAAACCCUCUACUACCCACACCCCCACUGCACCACACUGCACCCCCUCCCACUACAUCUCACCGCCCAGCCCUACUCCCCACACCUACCACUAAACGUGCCCUACUACCCACACCCUCCCAUACCCAUCUCAUACCACUAGCACACUCCUCCCCUGUACCCCACACCCCUUACCCCACCUACACACCUCAACUCCACCCCAACAUGCCACUACCACCACCCCUAGGCAUACGCACCCCCACACCAUCCCACUCCCCCACACACAACGCCCAAAACCACACAACCACCCCACCUACAACCACCUUCCCUCCUACACAUAGUACAUACACAUACAUACCCACAUCCCUCUCACAAAUUAAAUCUUAUUCUAUCCUUACCACACAACAUACCUACCCACUACUACCACCCAGCUCUAUACAUGUCACAACCCCCUUUCUCCCCCCCCUCAUACCUAGCUAACCACCCAAGUACCCCCCUACUCACAUCACCCGCACCCAACCACCCACCUACCCCACAACAAGCACCCCCUCAUCUCUCACCCCACAAACAGCCCCAUACCCACUUUACCCAUACCACGCCAUCAUACAACCCACCACGAUUAUUCCAAGCCCCAACACAACACCAACACCCACCUAAGCCCCACACACCUACACAUACACUUCCUCCCCCCCUCACACUUUCCUACACUCUCACCUAAAAUAUACACACCUAACACACCCUACACAAGCCGUACCCCUGCCAACACCAAAACCACACACCCCUUCCCCCCCUUGGCCACAACACUACUCACCCUACAACACACCAAACCAACCACACCCUACAGCAGCCACUAGUCCUACAACCAGCGCUCCCUCCAACACCACACCCUAAAU